AGGUUAGGUCCUGCUGAAUUAGAAGGAAAACAUGGCGACAACCCUCUUCCUUACUAGUAUUGCAUAAUGUGUUUUAUAAUCCAGUGCACUUUAUGUAUAAAAAUAGUCCAGAAAAUAGCCGUUUAUUGUAAUUCAGUGCGCUUUUUAGUCCGAAAGAAAAAAAAAAACAGUAUAUAAGCUCCAUCUCGCAAUACUGUUCAAAUGAAAGUCAACGUCCCCAUGUUUGAAUAUAUCCAAAAUGAAGAAUAGAGUCACUUGACUGUAAAAUCUGUAAUAAUAAAUCUUAUAUAUGUAAUAGCACGUCCACACAAUCUGCUCCACAGGUUAGGAAGUGAAGUCUGGAGCAGCAGGGUGAGUGAGUGAUUAACCAAAAGCACUAAAUCUGCUUUGGUCAUCAUGGGUUACUCAAACUGAGCCCAAAGUCCAGCACAAACACACACACACACACAGAGAAAGAGAGAAAACACAAAACAAUGCAGUAGCUAGUUGAGUGUGUUUGUGUGAGAGAGCCAUGUCUUCUCUGAGUGUGUUCCUGAAGAACGUUCCUGGCUGGUUCCUGUGUGGAGGAGUCUUCCUGCCGGUCACUCUCCUGCUUCUGCUGCUGAUUCUUCACCUGAACCGUAAACUACAGGAAGUGGAGAUGGAACUGUCUGAGGCUCCAGACCUGCGGGAGGCAGCACAGCAACUGCUCUUCAAGCCCAAACACACACACAGUCACAAACACACCCAUGUUCACAGACACACACACUGGCACAGAGAUGCUGAGAAGAAAUCCGCCUUCAGGAUGAGAUGAACUCUAUAGCAUGGCAGAUCAGCAGGACCAGGACUGGACACCUCUGAGAGAGAGACUACAUGCAUUUAUAUGGAGCAUAUCUGGACACAUUUCAACACCAAGUACUCUUGAAGGGACUCUGCAGACCUGGAAGUCAGGUGUUUGGCUUCAUAUGUGGUCAGAGAUGCUGGUAUUGGUUUACAAUAAGCAUGGUCAGGACCUGAAUACAUUAACAGUAAUGACCGUUUUGGACCAUUUUUAUGGAUCCAUAAAUGAAAUCGUGUGAAUGGAUGCAUGCUGCUCUUCUUCAGUUGUCCACCGGGGUGGGUGGGACUUGAGAACACUGUCACACGCACACUUGCUCCUUUGUCUGUAUCCGCCAAGUUAAAAAAAAAAAAAAAAAAAAAAAAAAAAAAAAAAUUAAUUAAUAAUAAAUAAUAAUAAAAAUAAUAAUAAUAAAUAAUAAUAAAAAAAGUUAAUUGAGUGGCCAUUAUAGUUACAGUCAGAAUAAUUAGUUAGAUUACUUGUUACUGAAAAAAGUAAUAGAAAAAAGUAGUAACAUUGUUUAAUUCCAUGCCGUUACUCCCAUCACUGGUGGUCCAACCUUUUCUGAAUGCACAUUCUGGUUAGCUCUUCCAACAGCUCAUCCACAUACUGCUGCUAUCCCAAGAGCUUGUCUUGAAGACACAGAUACAAUACUAUACCAAUGUCAGGAGCAUCUCCAGACCCACCCUCGAUUAAAAUGUGUGUGAUAAAAUGUUCAUGAUGCAUGGGAUGGAUUAUCGCAGGACAGCAUUAGGAACAUUUACAUCUCCAUGCAGAAAUGUGUGGCCUGUUGCAUUAAACAUGUUACACUUGCGAAACUUCAGAUCCAAAAUUGCACAUUACGUUUUUUAAGUGUUUAAAAGAAGGAUUUAGAUUAUUGUACUUCUUUUUAAAGGGACAAAAAGGCCAAUUUGUAAAACUGUAUAGAAACAAUAUUUUGUUAUGUUGUGGCAGCAUGGUGAGAUUUGGUCAUAGUUUGCAAGGUCUGUAUUAUUAUUCAGUUGAAUACUGAACCCUCACUGGGGGGAUUGACAGUAUUGUGAGAUCAUGCAGGAGGGAAGUUGCAUACUGAUCCGUCUUUUACUGCUUAUGAUAAAUUAUAUUUUAUCAUUUGAGUAAAAAGAUGCAGUAUUGCAUUUUGUCUAUUUUUUAUUUGAAACGAAUAAAACACAUUGUUAAAAUCUCUCGUUCUUGUGAGCCUGAUAUUAUGCCUCGUCUCUUAAGACUGUUCCACCAAUUCAGCUGUGCGUCAGCUGUAUAUCCCCCCAUCACUAGUGAUGCCACAACACAAGGAGGGUUAUAUGUGAAGUCAGACACCACCUCUUUUUAGCAUCACAGCGCACUCGGAGGAAAGCUCAGCGCCUCAGUUGUGAUACAUCAGCUCACAGACGACUUGUGCUGGUUGACAUCACCCUUUGGAGUGAUGAGGGGAAAGAGCACCAUCUACCCACCCAGAGAGAGCAAGGCCAAUUGUGCUCUCUCAGGGCUCCGGCAGCUUGAAUUCAAAUAUUGAAUAUCAAUUAAAUUCAAAUAUUUGUAGGCAAAUGUUAGCAGGCAACAAAAGCAGAAACUGGAGUAUUGAUGGAAAAAAUACAAAUGAGACAAUAAUUAGAGAAUAAACAAACUUUUAUUUAAACAGUGUUACACAAAGAGGACAGGAGGUGAUGGUAGGUGGGCGGGGCCAAAAACACAAUUACACAAUUACUCAAGCUGCUAAAAACGAAGGGGUGCGAUUGGCGCCUCUGGUUAGCGGCAAAUAGAAGGGGGGCUAUUUAGAGAAAUAAAAGCAAGAAUACAAGAGAGAUAGUAUGAGAGAGAGCAAGAUAGCACUGGUACCAGGCCAGAGAGGGAGGAGCUUCAUUGAUUUAUCUACAUGUACAAUAAUCCCACUGUGGCAAAUCCAUUUUUUCUUUUGCUUUUCAUCAAAAAAAAAAAAAGAUCAGAAUAUAUUAAAAAUAUUUAAAAGGGGGGAAAACAAACCUAGAUCAUUCAAAAAAGGUCUAAAAUGAUCUGUUUACACACAAGACAGAAUUCAUUAAAAUAUCAGAGAAAAUAAUCUUUUGAUUAUUGGUAUCAGAAAUUUGUGUAGGAAAAGCAAAAUGUGUUAAAAAGCUGCCCAGAGUUUUAAGAAUUUUUCUUUUUUUUCUGGAUUUUUUAAUGGAGUUUUUAUUACAUAUUUUCCCUAAAAGAGGUAGACAAAGUGCACCUCCCAGUGGUGGAAUGUUUGUGUGUUUGUUUGUUUGUUUGACUGCAUAGAGGAAGGAUUGGCACUGUUGUGCGAGUAGAGGAAAUAAAAACCGUGCCUCCGAGUCUCAAGCUGGUCCCUUAAGAAGAGAUUAUGAAUACGUUAAUCUGAAGUCGAGCCCCUUCUCCUGACCAACAUUAAACCCUCCCUAUCCCCUUACAAAAUGCUCAGAGAUCAUAAAUCAUUUUUAAUAUGCAUGUAAAUAGACCGCCCACCUAGUUUUUAUUUUAUUUUAUUUUACAAAGUGUUCAUUCAUAGCUAAUAGAAAUCCCCUAUGACUGGAUUGUAAAAUUCAUCUUUUUAAGCUUACCCUCUCCAGAUCUGUCCCCCUCUGAACGUGCUAGGAAUGUGAAUCACUGCUAUAACAAUAAUAAAAAAAAAAAAAGAAUU
RNA transcript from Astyanax mexicanus (Mexican tetra), 3452 nucleotides. RefSeq lists it as uncharacterized. The transcript is spliced from 2 exons. The record is from RefSeq and is a predicted model, not a curated record. NCBI's taxonomy places the organism in Eukaryota, Metazoa, Chordata, Actinopteri, Characiformes, Acestrorhamphidae.